ACAUAGGGUGCAAGCGUUGUCCGGAAUUAUUGGGCGUAAAGAGCUCGUAGGUCGUUUGUUACGUCGGAUGUGAAAACCUGAGGCUCAACCUCAGGCCUGCAUUCGAUACGGGCAAACUAGAGUUUGGUAGGGGAGACUGGAAUUCCUGGUGUAGCGGUGGAAUGCGCAGAUAUCAGGAGGAACACCAAUGGCGAAGGCAGGUCUCUGGGCCAACACUGACACUGAGGAGCGAAAGUCUGGGGAGCGAACAGGAUUAGAUACCCUGGUAGUCCAGACCGUAAACGGUGGGCACUAGUUGUGGGAACCUUCCACGGUUUCUGCGACGCAGCUAACGCAUUAAGUGCCCCGCCUGGGGAGUACGAUCGCAAGAUUA
RNAcentral lists this ribosomal RNA (373 nucleotides) under uncultured bacterium. Its description in RNAcentral is "bacterial SSU rRNA". It matches the Rfam family "Bacterial small subunit ribosomal RNA", at positions 525 to 896 of the family's 1533-position model. The record is from RNAcentral.